GAAUCCCCGCAAGGGUGGGAACCGGCGUAAGGGGCAGUAAGGCGUGGGUACCUACCCCGGGGUCCGGGAUAGCCCUUCGAGAGAAGGGGUAAUACCGGAUGACCUGGUGACAGCAAAGGCUUGCCGCCCCGGGAGGGGCCCACGUGAUAUUAGCUAGUCGGCGGGGUGACGGCCCACCGAGGCGAAGAUGUCUAGCGGGUGUGAGAGCACGACCCGCGCCACUGGCACUGAGACACUGGCCAGACACCUACGGGUGGCUGCAGUCGAGGAUCUUCGGCAAUGGGGGCAACCCUGACCGAGCGAUGCCGCGUGUGCGACGAAGGCCUUCGGGUUGUAAAGCACUGUCGAGGGGGGGAAAAGCCCGCGAGGGUUUGAUCGACCCCUGGAGGAAGCUCGGGCUAAGUUCGUGCCAGCAGCCGCGGUAAGACGAACCGAGCGAACGUU
This 444-nucleotide ribosomal RNA is filed under the name uncultured bacterium. Its description in RNAcentral is "bacterial SSU rRNA". It matches the Rfam family "Bacterial small subunit ribosomal RNA", at positions 71 to 542 of the family's 1533-position model. The record is from RNAcentral.